UCAAACGAAAAUAAAAAUAUAUUGGGGUGACAGAUCACAGAUGCUAACGAAAAGUAACGUGACAAUUUCUAUACAGUAUUUUGGUUUCUAUUGGCGUUUUCUAUCAACGGUUGUCAUGUUGGUUAGGCCCUGCUGUCUAAAUAACGUUACAAAAACCUGAUUCCGGGUCGGUAUGUUGAAGUUUUUGGAAAUAUAACAGUGUGACUCGUUUGAAUAACGAUAAAAUAAACCUCGUUUGCGAGCGGGAUAUCGCAUCUAUAUACGCUGUCCCGCUCAUAGCACUGUCACGUCCAUACACCGGUGCGACUUGCGAAUUCACAUGAGUGUGAUUACCGCAAUUUAGUGGUCCUACCUCAACAUAACUAAGCUCGCGUAUCCACGGCCACAGCCUUAGCGAGUGGGUGUGAUAAGCCUACUUGAAUGACUACGAUCGCAACGGUUUCGCAGUACGAAUACAUUCAAUGUAUUUGCUAUUCAUUCAACUAGCUAUACAACAACUUUUUUAUACUACAUCUGCAGCAAACAAGCAUACAACCCUUCUGACAGUAAACAGUCACCGUAGCUUAUGGACGCCUGCAUCUUUUUAUAAGAGAUAACACAUGGCGAAACUGAAUGACAAAUCACUAGAAUGCAUCACAGAAAGUAUCUUUCACCCGAUCGACACUAUCGAGCGAUAAUAAUAACGUAUAAACAGGAAGCCUUUUGCUAACAGUGGAAUAGAUAGCCGCGCACUGUCUAUAAAAUGACAAACUAAAAUGUUUAUUUCCAAACACACUAUGUAACUUCACCAACCACUAAAAUAAUGCAUGGAAAUUAAAUUAAACGCACUUUCUAACAUU
Long non-coding RNA from Cydia pomonella (codling moth), 839 nucleotides. RefSeq lists it as uncharacterized. The transcript is spliced from 2 exons. NCBI's taxonomy places the organism in Eukaryota, Metazoa, Arthropoda, Insecta, Lepidoptera, Tortricidae. The record is from RefSeq and is a predicted model, not a curated record.